ACCAGCAGCCAGAUCACGCUGCAGGUCUCAACUGGCUACCCACUGAAGCUGAGCAGGGUGGAGCCUGGUCAGUACCUGGAUGAGAGACCUCCAGGGAAGCUGUGGUUGCUGCCGGAA
Molecule: ribosomal RNA, 117 nt
Filed under: Lepisosteus oculatus (spotted gar)
Lineage: Eukaryota; Metazoa; Chordata; Actinopteri; Semionotiformes; Lepisosteidae
Source: RNAcentral